Molecule: ribosomal RNA, 883 nt
Filed under: Tricharina ochroleuca
Lineage: Eukaryota; Fungi; Ascomycota; Pezizomycetes; Pezizales; Pyronemataceae
Description: eukaryotic LSU rRNA
Rfam family: Eukaryotic large subunit ribosomal RNA
Source: RNAcentral
CGGGAGAGGAGCACAGGGAUUGCCUUAGUAACUGCGAGUGAAGCGGCAAAAGCUCAAAUUUGAAAUCUGUGUCCUCUCUGGGCAUCGAGUUGUAAUUUGGAGGGAUAACUUCGGCGCGGACUACAUCGUAAGUUCCUUGGAACAGGACGUCAUAGAGGGUGAGAAUCCCGUGUCUUGGUGUUUGGCCGUGCCAUGUGAAGUGUCUCCGACGAGUCGAGUUGUUUGGGAAUGCAGCUCAAAAUGGGUGGUAAAUUUCAUCUAAAGCUAAAUAUUGGCGAGAGACCGAUAGCGCACAAGUAGAGUGAUCGAAAGAUGAAAAGCACUUUGAAAAGAGAGUUAAAAAGUACGUGAAAUUGUUGAAAGGGAAGCGCUUGCGACCAGACUCGAUCUUUGGUGAUCAGCCGGGCUUCUGUCCGGUGCCCUCACCUUUGAUUGGGCCAGCAUCGGUUCCGACGGUGGGAUAAAAGGAGGAGGAAUGUGACUCCCUUCGGGGAGUGUUAUAGCCUCCUUCACAAUGCCGCCAGUUGGGACCGAGGACCGCGCUUCGGCUAGGAUGCUGGCGUAAUGGUCUUAAGCGACCCGUCUUGAAACACGGACCAAGGAGUCUAACAUCUAUGCGAGUGUUCGGGUGGAAAACCCUUGCGCGUAAUGAAAGUGAACGGAGGUGUGAACCCUUCACGGGGUGCAACAUCGACCGGUCCUGAUGUCUUCGGAAGGAUCUGAGUAAGAGCAUAGCUGUUGGGACCCGAAAGAUGGUGAACUAUGCCUGAAUAGGGUGAAGCCAGAGGAAACUCUGGUGGAGGCUCGCAGCGGUUCUGACGUGCAAAUCGAUCGUCAAAUUUGGGUAUAGGGGCGAAAGACUAAUCGAUCCAUCCUUUGCGGC